GACGAACGCUGGCGGCGUGCUUAACACAUGCAAGUCGAACGGAAAGGCCCUGCUUUUUUGGGGUGCUCGGGUGGCGAGCGGAUGAGUAACAAGUACGUAACUUGCCCUUGCCUUUGGGAUAACUUACGGCAACUGGGGCUAAUACCUGCUAGGAGUUCCUGCUGCCUGGCGGGGGUUGGUUUGUUUCGGCGGUUGGGGAUGGACUCGCGGUGUAUCGGCUUGUUGGUGGGGUCGUGGCGUAGCAGGGCUGAGACGGGUCGCCGGCCUGAGUGGGUGGCCGGCCGGAUUGGGACUGUAAGACGGCCCAGACUCGGACGGGAGGCAGCAGUGGCGAAUGUUGCACGAUGGGCGGAAGCCUGAUGCAGCAACGCCGCGGGCGUGAGGACCGCCUUCGGGUUGUAAACCGGUUUCGCCUUUUACGGAGCGGGUGUGACGGGAUUGGGUAAAGAAGCACCGGCUAACUACGUG
RNAcentral lists this ribosomal RNA (468 nucleotides) under uncultured bacterium. RNAcentral describes it as "partial 16S ribosomal RNA". It matches the Rfam family "Bacterial small subunit ribosomal RNA", at positions 28 to 507 of the family's 1533-position model. The record is from RNAcentral.